GAGAAUCGUAGGCCUCUCAAGAACAACAUAUAUUUUAGCAAGGCAGAUCUGCUCAUUGAAUGCACAUCUCAUCUGACUCUGAGGCUGGAAGAGUGUUUUCGGAUCAUGAAGGAGAUUGAAUCAGAAAGAACAACUUACAUCUUUUGGCAAAAACUACAGGUAUGAUCAGGAUGGUGAAGAUAAGAUUUCUUGUACCUGUGUUAGGAGUAACCAGACCUAAGAGACAAG
RNAcentral lists this long non-coding RNA (228 nucleotides) under Phasianus colchicus (ring-necked pheasant). RNAcentral describes it as "lncRNA (ENSPCLG00000002230.1)". Lineage: Eukaryota; Metazoa; Chordata; Aves; Galliformes; Phasianidae. The record is from RNAcentral.